Long non-coding RNA from Thalassophryne amazonica, 122 nucleotides. RefSeq lists it as uncharacterized. The record is from RefSeq and is a predicted model, not a curated record. NCBI's taxonomy places the organism in Eukaryota, Metazoa, Chordata, Actinopteri, Batrachoidiformes, Batrachoididae. The transcript has 3 exons.
GCCAAGGCCAGCAGAAAAGCUCAGGGCUAUUCAACUAUAUUUUACCGGGGGCCAAAUUUGUCAGAAUACUAUGAUCUGUGGGCUGGACAUUCUCGUGACCUGUACUAUUACUCUCGGAUGUA